GCCUGGGUGGCUCAGUCAGUUGAGUGUCUGACUUCUGCUCGGGUCGUGAUCUUGUGGUUUGUGGGUUCGAGCCCCAUGUUAGGCU
This 85-nucleotide transfer RNA is filed under the name Felis catus (domestic cat). It matches the Rfam family "tRNA". From Rfam's summary of the family: Transfer RNA (tRNA) molecules are approximately 80 nucleotides in length. Their secondary structure includes four short double-helical elements and three loops (D, anti-codon, and T loops). The record is from Rfam by way of RNAcentral. Lineage: Eukaryota; Metazoa; Chordata; Mammalia; Carnivora; Felidae.